Molecule: long non-coding RNA, 208 nt
Filed under: Elaeis guineensis (African oil palm)
Lineage: Eukaryota; Viridiplantae; Streptophyta; Magnoliopsida; Arecales; Arecaceae
Description: long non-coding RNA (EGUI_LNC082592)
Source: RNAcentral
UUCGAGCUUGUCUCAGCCCUGCCCAAGCGCGCUCCCUAGUAAACCUAUCCUCUCCCCUCCGGUCCACCGGAACUGAUUUAACGAGUCCUCACCCGAUAUAAAUGAUAGAGAAAUAUCCCCCAAACCCCCACUCUAAACCCUCUCUCCUCUUUGGAUUAGGUUUCCGCCCCCCCUCUCCGAUGGCCGCUGCUGUGGCCCGAGCUCUCGU